AUUGAACGCUGGCGGCAAGCCUAACACAUGCAAGUCGAACGAGUGGCGGACGGGUGAGUAAUGUCUGGGAAACUGCCUGAUGGAGGGGGAUAACUACUGGAAACGGUAGCUAAUACCGCAUACCAUCGGAUGUGCCCAGAUGGGAUUAGCUAGUAGGUGGGGGAAAGGCUCACCUAGGCGACGAUCCCUAGCUGGUCUGAGAGGAUGACCAGCCACACUGGAACUGAGACACGGGCCAGACUCCUACGGGAGGCAGCAGUGGGGAAUCUUGCACAAUGGGCGAAAGCCUGAUGCAGCCAUGCCGCGUGUAUGAAGAAGGUUUUCGGGUUGUAAAGCACUUUCAGCGGGGAGGCGUUACCCGCAGAAGAAGCCCCGGCUAACUCCGUGCCAGCAGCCGCGGUAAUUC
This 406-nucleotide ribosomal RNA is filed under the name uncultured bacterium. RNAcentral describes it as "partial 16S ribosomal RNA". It matches the Rfam family "Bacterial small subunit ribosomal RNA", at positions 30 to 526 of the family's 1533-position model. The record is from RNAcentral.